AAGAUUAUAUUUUCAGGGAUCAUUUCUGUAGUUCAUUACUAGAGAAUUUUCUUUGAACAUGCAGAGCACGGGAGACACAGCAUUCUCUCCUGAGUGUGAAGGCGGCUCUUGGUGUUGCUUUGCUGUAACCGCCAUUUGCUGUUGAUCAUUCUUUCCCUUCAAGGGGAAAAGGUAGAGGAUGCAGUCUGA
This 189-nucleotide small nucleolar RNA is filed under the name Prolemur simus (greater bamboo lemur). RNAcentral's name for it is "Small nucleolar RNA U3 (ENSPSMG00000015978.1)". It matches the Rfam family "Small nucleolar RNA U3". From Rfam's summary of the family: Small nucleolar RNAs (snoRNAs) are involved in the processing and modification of rRNA in the nucleolus. There are two main classes of snoRNAs: the box C/D class, and the box H/ACA class. U3 snoRNA is a member of the box C/D class. Lineage: Eukaryota; Metazoa; Chordata; Mammalia; Primates; Lemuridae. The record is from Rfam by way of RNAcentral.